RNAcentral lists this ribosomal RNA (460 nucleotides) under beta proteobacterium UC2. RNAcentral describes it as "bacterial SSU rRNA". It matches the Rfam family "Bacterial small subunit ribosomal RNA", at positions 33 to 488 of the family's 1533-position model. Lineage: Bacteria; Pseudomonadati; Pseudomonadota; Betaproteobacteria. The record is from RNAcentral.
ACGCUGGCGGCAUGCCUUACACAUGCAAGUCGAACGGCAGCACGGGAGCAAUCCUGGUGGCGAGUGGCGAACGGGUGAGUAAUACAUCGGAACGUGCCCAGUUGUGGGGGAUAGCCCGGCGAAAGCCGGAUUAAUACCGCAUACGACCUACGGGUGAAAGCGGGGGAUCGCAAGACCUCGCGCUAUUGGAGCGGCCGAUGUCGGAUUAGCUAGUUGGUGGGGUAAAAGCCUACCAAGGCUACUAUCCGUAGCUGGUCUGAGAGGACGACCAGCCACACUGGGACUGAGACACGGCCCAGACUCCUACGGGAGGCAGCAGUGGGGAAUUUUGGACAAUGGGCGCAAGCCUGAUCCACCCAUGCCGCGUGCGGGAAGAAAGCCUUCGGGUUGUAAACCGCUUUUGUCAUGGAAGAAACGGUUUGGGCUAAUAUCCCGAACUAAUGACGGUACCUGAAGAAUA